Molecule: ribosomal RNA, 453 nt
Filed under: uncultured Alloprevotella sp.
Lineage: Bacteria; Pseudomonadati; Bacteroidota; Bacteroidia; Bacteroidales; Prevotellaceae
Description: partial 16S ribosomal RNA
Rfam family: Bacterial small subunit ribosomal RNA
Source: RNAcentral
ACGGGAGGCAGCAGUGAGGAAUAUUGGUCAAUGGGCGGAAGCCUGAACCAGCCAAGUCGCGUGAAGGAUGAAGGUAUUAUGUAUUGUAAACUUCUUUAGUCGCAGGGAAAUAAGGCGGACGUGUCCGCUGAUGCUAGUAUGCGAAGAAUAAGGACCGGCUAAUUCCGUGCCAGCAGCCGCGGUAAUACGGAAGGUCCAGGCGUUAUCCGGAUUUAUUGGGUUUAAAGGGAGCGUAGGCGGAUUAUCAAGUCAGUGGUAAAAUCGUGUGGCCCAACCAUACCUCGCCAUUGAAACUGUUAGUCUUGAGUGCACGCAGGGAUGCUGGAAUUCGUUGUGUAGCGGUGAAAUGCUUAGAUAUGACGAAGAACUCCGAUCGCGAAGGCAGGUGUCUGGAGUGCAACUGACGCUGAGGCUCGAAAGUGCGGGUAUCAAACAGGAUUAGAUACCCUGGUA